AGACACUGCACCGUUCUGCCUUACUGGCCAUGGGCCCCAGGCUCCUCUGCUGGGCGGCCCUCAGCCUCCUGGGGGCAGGCGCAGUGGGGUCUGGAGUUACCCAGACCCCGAAACACUUGAUUAAAGCACGAGGAGAGCAUGUGAUGAUGAGCUGUUUCCCCCUCUCUGAGCAUCUCUCUGUGUCCUGGUACCAGAAGGCCCAGGGCCAGGGCCCAAAGUUCCUUGUUGAGUAUUACAACGGGGAAGAGAGAGACAAAGGCGACAUCCCGGACCGGUUUUCAGGCAAACAGUUCUCUGACUACCGCUCGGAGCUGAACCUGAGUGCCGUGGAGCUGGGAGACUCAGCCGUGUUCCUCUGUGCCAGCAGCUUGGCACAGCCCUGCAGAGCCACUGCCGCCCUAUACACAAACCCCUCUGCCCGGCUGAGGAAGUGA
Molecule: non-coding RNA, 434 nt
Organism: Trichechus manatus latirostris (Florida manatee)
Lineage: Eukaryota; Metazoa; Chordata; Mammalia; Sirenia; Trichechidae
Source: the annotation of a RefSeq genome assembly